GACGAACGCUGGCGGCGUGCUUAACACAUGCAAGUCGAACGAUGAAGCUUGGUGCUUGCACUGGGUGGAUUAGUGGCGAACGGGUGAGUAACACGUGAGUAACCUGCCCUUUACUUCGGGAUAAGCUUGGGAAACUGGGUCUAAUACCGGAUAUUCUGCAUGGUCGGAUGGUUGUGUAGGAAAGAUUUUUUGGUAAGGGAUGGGCUCGCGGCCUAUCAGUUUGUUGGUGGGGUGAUGGCCUACCAAGACGACGACGGGUAGCCGGCCUGAGAGGGCGACCGGCCGCACUGGGACUGAGACACGGCCCAGACUCCUACGGGAGGCAGCAGUGGGGAAUAUUGCACAAUGGGGGAAACCCUGAUGCAGCGACGCCGCGUGGGGGAUGACGGCCUUCGGGUUGUAAACCUCUUUCAGUAGGGAAGAAGCGAAAGUGACGGUACCUGCAGAAGAAGUACCGGCUAACUACGUGCCAGCAGCCGCGGUAAUACGUAGGGUACUAGCGUUGUCCGGAAUUAUUGGGCGUAAAGAGCUCGUAGGUGGUUUGUCGCGUCUGCUGUGGAAACGUGCCGCUUAACGGUGCGCGUGCAGUGGGUACGGGCGGACUAGAGUGCAGUAGGGGAGUCUGGAAUUCCUGGUGUAGCGGUGAAAUGCGCAGAUAUCAGGAGGAACACCGGUGGCGAAGGCGGGACACUGGGCAGUUACUGACGCUGAGGAGCGAAAGCAUGGGUAGCGAACAGGAUUAGAUACCCUGGUAGUCCAUGCCGUAAACGGUGGGCGCUAGGUGUGAGGGUCUUUUCACGACUUUCGUGCCGUAGCUAACGCAUUAAGCGCCCCGCCUGGGGAGUACGGCCGCAAGGCUAAAACUCAAAGGAAUUGACGGGGGCCCGCACAAGCGGCGGAGCAUGCGGAUUAAUUCGAUGCAACGCGAAGAACCUUACCAAGGCUUGACAUGCACUAGACCAUCGCAGAGAUGUGGUUUUCUUUUUGACUGGUGUACAGGUGGUGCAUGGUUGUCGUCAGCUCGUGUCGUGAGAUGUUGGGUUAAGUCCCGCAACGAGCGCAACCCUCGUUCUAUGUUGCCAGCACGUGAUGGUGGGAACUCAUGGGAGACUGCCGGGGUCAACUCGGAGGAAGGUGGGGAUGACGUCAAAUCAUCAUGCCCUUUAUGUCUUGGGCUUCACGCAUGCUACAAUGGCCGGUACAGAGGGUGGCGAUACCGUGAGGUGGAGCGAAUCUCUUAAAGCCGGCCUUAGUUCGGAUUGGGGUCUGCAACUCGACCCCAUGAAGUCGGAGUCGCUAGUAAUCGCAGAUCAGCAAUGCUGCGGUGAAUACGUUCCCGGGCCUUGUACACACCGCCCGUCACGUCAUGAAAGUUGGUAACACCCGAAGCCGGUGGCCCAAACUUGUUAGGGAGCCGUCGAAGGUGGGAUCGGCGAUUGGGACGAAGUCGUAACAAGGUACCCGUACCGGAAGG
This 1474-nucleotide ribosomal RNA is filed under the name uncultured bacterium. RNAcentral's name for it is "bacterial SSU rRNA". It matches the Rfam family "Bacterial small subunit ribosomal RNA". The record is from RNAcentral.